AAAUUGUGGCAUAUACCUGGGCCCAGCUCACAACCACAAUGAUGACUCUCUUACCUGGACACAGACAGUGGGAGAUAUUUUGACUUUUGUAGCCAGGCUUAGGCCAUAGGUGGUUUGGUGACUCUCGAACCAUGAUUCGGCAGACCUGUGAGGCUGUGAGUUCCCUAUUGGAACACAAUCUGCAGGUUGUAUUGUGCCAUAUACCUGGGACCAAAUUACAAGCACAAUGAUGAAUUUUUUACCUGGAGUCAAGACAUGUGCAGGAUGGUGGAACUUAUCACUGGACCUUUCCACAGUGUUAUUAUGACAUAUAACUUUGUCCAACAUAUGGAGUCUUACUCUGUCGCCCAGGCUAGAGUGUAAUGGUG
Molecule: long non-coding RNA, 368 nt
Filed under: Homo sapiens (human)
Lineage: Eukaryota; Metazoa; Chordata; Mammalia; Primates; Hominidae
Description: HSALNT0341188
Source: RNAcentral